RNAcentral lists this transfer RNA (77 nucleotides) under Escherichia coli EC1738. RNAcentral describes it as "tRNA-Ile". It matches the Rfam family "tRNA". From Rfam's summary of the family: Transfer RNA (tRNA) molecules are approximately 80 nucleotides in length. The record is from RNAcentral. Lineage: Bacteria; Pseudomonadati; Pseudomonadota; Gammaproteobacteria; Enterobacterales; Enterobacteriaceae.
AGGCUAGUAGCUCAGGUGGUUAGAGCGCACCCCUGAUAAGGGUGAGGUCGGUGGUUCAAGUCCACUCAGGCCUACCA